UGGGGAAUAUUGCACAAUGGAGGGAACUCUGAUGCAGCGACGCCGCGCGAGUGAUGAAGGAAUUCGUUUCGUAAAACUCUGUUCUAUGGGAAGAAAAGGACUGUACCAUAGGAGAAAGCUCCGGCUAAAUACGUGCCAGCAGCCGCGGUAAUACGUAUGGAGCGAGCGUUGUCCGGAAUUAUUGGGCGUAAAGGGUGCGCAGGCGGCUUUACAAGUUGGAUGUGAAAUAUUGUGGCUCAACCACAAACGUGCAUCCAAAACUGCAAAGCUUGAGUUAAGGAGAGGUAAGUGGAAUUCCUGGUGUGGCGGUGGAAUGCGUAGAUAUCAGGAGAAAUACCGGUGGCGAAGGCGACUUACUGGACUUAAACUGACGCUCAGGCACGAAAGCGUGGGGAGCAAACAGG
RNAcentral lists this ribosomal RNA (404 nucleotides) under Fusobacteriota bacterium. Its description in RNAcentral is "Fusobacteria bacterium partial 16S ribosomal RNA". It matches the Rfam family "Bacterial small subunit ribosomal RNA", at positions 355 to 776 of the family's 1533-position model. The record is from RNAcentral. Lineage: Bacteria; Fusobacteriati; Fusobacteriota.